Molecule: ribosomal RNA, 530 nt
Filed under: uncultured Bacteroidales bacterium
Lineage: Bacteria; Pseudomonadati; Bacteroidota; Bacteroidia; Bacteroidales
Description: bacterial SSU rRNA
Rfam family: Bacterial small subunit ribosomal RNA
Source: RNAcentral
CGCAUGGUGGAACUAUUAAAGCAAUUUCGGUCAUCGAUGGGGAUGCGUUCCAUUAGGUUGUUGGCGGGGUAACGGCCCACCAAGCCUUCGAUGGAUAGGGGUUCUGAGAGGAAGGUCCCCCACAUUGGAACUGAGACACGGUCCAAACUCCUACGGGAGGCAGCAGUGAGGAAUAUUGGUCAAUGGACGAGAGUCUGAACCAGCCAAGUAGCGUGAAGGAUGACUGCCCUAUGGGUUGUAAACUUCUUUUAUACGGGAAUAAAGUGAGGCACGCGUGCCUUUUUGUAUGUACCGUAUGGAUAAGGAUCGGCUAACUCCGUGCCAGCAGCCGCGGUAAUACGGAGGAUCCGAGCGUUAUCCGGAUUUAUUGGGUUUAAAGGGAGCGUAGGCGGACGCUUAAGUCAGUUGUGAAAGUUUGCGGCUCAACCGUAAAAUUGCAGUUGAUACUGGGUGUCUUGAGUACAGUAGAGGCAGGCGGAAUUCGUGGUGUAGCGGUGACAAUGCUUAGAUAUCACGAAGAACUCCGAUUG